This 30-nucleotide non-coding RNA is filed under the name Homo sapiens (human). Lineage: Eukaryota; Metazoa; Chordata; Mammalia; Primates; Hominidae. The record is from RNAcentral.
UCCCAGUGCGUCUACAGGCCCGUCUCCUGC